GAUGAACGCUGGCGGCGUGCCUAAGACAUGCAAGUCGAGCGAACAGACGAGGAGCUUGCUCCUCUGACGUUAGCGGCGGACGGGUGAGUAACACGUGGAUAACCUACCUAUAAGACUGGGAUAACUUCGGGAAACCGGAGCUAAGACCGGAUAAUAUAUUGAACCGCAUGGUUCAAUAGGGAAAGACGGGUUUGCGGUCACUUAUAGAUGGAUCCGCUCCGCAUUAGCUAGUUGGUAAGGUCACGGCUUACCAAGGCAACGAUGCGUAGCCGACCUGAGAGGGUGGUCGGCCACCCUAGAACUGAGACACGGCCCAGCCUCCUCCGGGAGGCAGCAGUAGGGACUCUUCCGCAAUGGGCGAAUGCCUGACGGAACAACGCCGCGUGAGUCAUGAAGCUCUUCCGAUCGUCAAACUCUGUUAUUAGUGAAGAACGAAUGUGUAAGUAACUAUGCACCUAUUGACGGUACCUACUCAGAACGCCACGGCUAACUACGUG
RNAcentral lists this ribosomal RNA (497 nucleotides) under uncultured bacterium. RNAcentral's name for it is "partial 16S ribosomal RNA". It matches the Rfam family "Bacterial small subunit ribosomal RNA", at positions 28 to 507 of the family's 1533-position model. The record is from RNAcentral.